This is an RNA transcript of Brienomyrus brachyistius, 2593 nucleotides long. It is a transcript of the gene named threonine synthase-like 2, with no coding region annotated. NCBI's taxonomy places the organism in Eukaryota, Metazoa, Chordata, Actinopteri, Osteoglossiformes, Mormyridae. The transcript has 8 exons. The record is from RefSeq and is a predicted model, not a curated record.
UUACCAGUUGCUAAAGCUUACCAUAGACAGUAAACACAUAGCUUAUUUAUAUAUACUAUUUAGCAGUGUUUUUAAAUAACUUGAACACUGAAAUGUUGUAACUGGUGGAUACGCUUAAUAUUUUAAUGGACGCAGGAUUGUCAACUUUUGUCAGCUUGCUGGAGUGAAACUUUCAAUUCGAGAAGUCUGCAUACGCAUGUACAUGUAUGUAACAGUUGUAUUAGCUUAAUAGUUUGCAGGGUUUGCAAACUACCUCAACGGUUUAGAUAUAGCUAAUUUUAUGUUUAUAAUGGAAUAAUAUCGAUUUACCGUAAUAUUCUCGCGCGAGCGUCACGCCUAGUCCGCGAGAGCUGGCAGCGCUGUGCACGUGAUGGUGCGGAGUGCAGGUUGUUAUACACUCACGUAGUGUGUGUGCAUGGUCAUUGACGCCUGCUGCUGGGUGCCUGCAAGCAUUCGAACUCCUUCAAAAGAAGCAAUCAUGCGGUACUGCAGCACGAGAGGUGGAACAUGUGGGUGGGACUUUCGGCAAGUUUUGUUUUCUGGCUAUGCUCCCGAUGGGGGGAUGUUUAUGCCAGAGAGCCUGCCUGGCCUCUCUGCUGAUACCCUUAGGUCCUGGGCCUCUCUAUCCUACUCUGAGCUGGUCCUGGAGGUGUGUGCCUUAUUCAUCCCCGAUGAUCUCAUACCGCGUCGUGACCUAGCAGACCUGCUGUCACAGGCACUGUCUCAGUUUUCAGUGCCAGAUGCUGUGCGUUCGGUGCAGCUUCGGGAUGGCCUUUGUGUGCUGGAGCUGUUCCACGGCCAGACGAUGGCUUUCAAGGACCUGGCCAUGACCUGCGUCGCCCGCCUGCUCGAUUACUUUCUGCGCAGAGAACACCGUCGUGCCACUAUUGUCGUGGGAACCUCAGGGGACACUGGGGGUUCUGCCAUUUGCAGUGCUCGUGGCCUGGAUGGGGUGGACGUGCUGGUUGUGUUUCCCCUGGGACGUAUCACCACAGUACAGGAGAGACACAUGACCACCAGCCUGGAGGACAAUGUGCAUGUCUUUGCAGCGGACGGCAGCUCUGAUGACAUUGAUGUCCCACUGAGGCGUCUCUUUGCUGAUCAGGACCUGGUCCAAAAUCACGGCCUCAUGAGCCUGAACUCUGUGAACUGGGCCCGGAUCCUGGUGCAGCUGGCCCAUUUUCUUUAUGCGUAUUUGCAUUUGAGUGACCUGCAGAAGGUCAAAGGUCAGGAGCUGCCGCCCAUCGAGGUUGUGGUGCCCACAGGUGGAGCUGGAAACAUUGCAGCUGGCUGCAUUGUGAACCUGAUGGGUGUGCCGCUUCGCCUUGUCGCCAUGGUGAAUGAUAAUGACAUCGUGCAUCGGGUGGUGCAGAGUGGUGACUAUUCCAUGGCAAGUAGUGUGAAGCGGACCCUGGCUCCUGCCAUAGACAUUCAGGACCCGUACAACAUGGAGCGCGUGCUUUGGUUGCUGUCUGACAAGAACGGCGCUUUGGUGAAGGACCUGAUGGAGGAGUUUCAGAGCUCUCACAGAUUGCAGCUGCCUGAGAAACUGCAUAAAAAGGCUCGGUCACUUUUACUCGUCAUAUGCACACAUGAGCCAAAACAUAAUGACCACGAUAUGAGGCGACUAAUGACGAUCCUGCUAAAUAUGGGAUAUAGGUGUAUUCGAAAGCAACCUAACGUUCAAUACUCAUAGUCGGCAUGUUGAAUACAGAAGGAAUGGGCAAGGGUAAAGAUCUGAGUGACUUUGAGAAGGUCCAAAUCUUUACAGCUAGAUGACUGCAUCAGAGCAUCUCUGAAAUAGCAUGGUUUGUGCGGUGCUCAGUCAGCUGUGGUGAGGACCAACUGAGGGUGGCCCAAGGAGGGAGAAAUUACAAACUGUUGACAGAGUAUUGGGUGCCUAUGUCUUGUUGAUGCAUAAUGCAAGCUUCUGCCAAGUAAAAACUAACAAGGAAAAGAAUUGUAGAAAAUUGCAGGGAAUACAUAUAGUUUUAGCAGCAGCCACCAAAGACACUUCAGUAUGCAACACGUUAAGGCAAAAACCAUUUGAUGGAUCUUCUUAAAUUUUUCACAGUCAUUGUAUGGGCGAGGAACUAAAGCUGAUUAAAUUUUGAGACAGAUCGCCACACAGCUGAAGUAGAGUGGCAUGGUGCAGCAAAAAAGGACAAUUUUCACACUUGAUCCUAUUGAUCAAGAUGAUAACUCAAAAACCAUUUAAUGGAUAUUUUUUCAAACUUUGCAGAGGCAUUGUAUAGAUGCCAAACUGGAACAGCUUAAAAUAUUGAGACAGAUCACCCCAAAACGGAAGCGACGCCAUUUAGUGGCAGCAAACGGAAGGGUGAAAGCAGAUGAGGUUUAACAUCAAGAAUGGAACCGCAGGACAGGGAACAGCUGAGAGUGGAAAUGGAGCCAGCAGCAGCCCAUUGUAAACACAGCCAUUUAUCAACUAAACUUGUUCCAUGUAUCAUUUUCAAACUUCCCAGAAACAUUAUACAGCUGUCUGCAUUCAUAUCGUCAGGCUCAGUCACAGAUGAGGAGAUCAUUGAUACUAUGCAGAGGUGCUGGCAAGAAAACCACUAUCUCCUGUGUCCCC